Molecule: ribosomal RNA, 752 nt
Filed under: uncultured marine bacterium
Lineage: Bacteria
Description: bacterial SSU rRNA
Rfam family: Bacterial small subunit ribosomal RNA
Source: RNAcentral
AGUGGCAGACGGGUGAGUAACAUGUACGUAUCUGCCCUUUGGCCUGGAAUAACACGAGGAAACUUGUGCUAAUACCGGAUAAGUCUUUACGGAGAAAGCUUUAUGCACCAUUGGAUGAGCCUGCACUUGUUUAGUUUGUUGGUGGGGUAAUGGCCUACCAAGACUGUGAUCAAUAGCUGAUUUGAGAGGAUGAUCAGCCACAUUGGGACUGAGACACGGCCCAAACUCCUACGGGAGGCAGCAGUGGGGAAUCUUGCACAAUGGAGGAAACUCUGAUGCAGCGAUGCCGCGUGAGUGAAGAAGGCCCUUGGGUUGUAAAGCUCUUUCGUCGGGGAAGAAAAUGACUGUACCCGAAUAAGAAGGUCCGGCUAACUUCGUGCCAGCAGCCGCGGUAAUACGAAGGGACCUAGCGUAGUUCGGAAUUACUGGGCUUAAAGAGUUCGUAGGUGGUUGAAAAAGUUAGUGGUGAAAUCCCAGAGCUUAACUCUGGAACUGCCAUUAAAACUUUUCAGCUAGAGUAUGAUAGAGGAAAGCAGAAUUUCUAGUGUAGAGGUGAAAUUCGUAGAUAUUAGAAAGAAUACCAAUUGCGAAGGCAGCUUUCUGGAUCAUUACUGACACUGAGGAACGAAAGCAUGGGUAGCGAAGAGGAUUAUAUACCCUCGUAGUCCAUGCCGUAAACGAUGUGUGUUAGACGUUGGAAAUUUAUUUUCAGUGUCGCAGCGAAAGCGAUAAACACACCGCCUGGGGAGUAC